This 486-nucleotide ribosomal RNA is filed under the name uncultured bacterium. RNAcentral's name for it is "partial 16S ribosomal RNA". It matches the Rfam family "Bacterial small subunit ribosomal RNA", at positions 30 to 507 of the family's 1533-position model. The record is from RNAcentral.
AUUGAACGCUGGCGGCAUGCCUUACACAUGCAAGUCGAACGGCAGCACGGGUGCUUGCCCCUGGUGGCGAGUGGCGAACGGGUGAGUAAUACAUCGGAACAUGUCCUGUAGUGGGGGAUAGCCCGGCGAAAGCCGGAUUAAUACCGCAUACGAUCUACGGAUGACAGCGGGGGACCUUCGGGCCUCGCGCUAUAGGGUUGGCCGAUGGCUGAUUAGCUAGUUGGUGGGGUAAAGGCCUACCAAGGCGACGAUCAGUAGCUGGUCUGAGAGGACGACCAGCCACACGGGGACUGAGACACGGCCCAGACUCCUACGGGAGGCAGCAGUGGGGAAUUUUGGACAAUGGGCGAAAGCCUGAUCCAGCAAUGCCGCGUGUGUGAAGAAGGCCUUCGGGUUGUAAAGCACUUUUGUCCGGAAAGAAAUCCUUGGCCCUAAUACGGUCGGGGGAUGACGGUACCGGAAGAAUAAGCACCGGCUAACUACGUG